This is a long non-coding RNA of Symphalangus syndactylus (siamang), 443 nucleotides long. RefSeq lists it as uncharacterized. NCBI's taxonomy places the organism in Eukaryota, Metazoa, Chordata, Mammalia, Primates, Hylobatidae. The record is from RefSeq and is a predicted model, not a curated record.
UUGAGCGGUCCUAGGAAAGUGACCAGGCUGGUGUCCCAGGAUGGUCCACACCUGGCACCUCUCCAGUCUUCUCAUGCCCUCCCUUUACACCGAGCUUCCACACUGCAGUCAGAAAGAAGAUGUCAGACGCGGUGGCUCGCGCCUGUAAUCCCAGCACUUGUGGGAGGCAGAGGCAGGCGGAUCACUUGAGCCUAGGAGUUCAAGAUCAGCUUGGACAACAUGGCAAAACCCCGUCUCUACAAAAAAUGCAAAAAAUUAGCUGGACAUGGUGGUGCAUACCUGUGGUCCCAGCUACUUGGGAGGCUGAGGUGGGAGGCUCACUUGAGCCCAGGAGGUCAAGGCUGCAGUAAGCUAUGUUGGCAUCACUGCACUCCAGCCUGGGCAACAGAAUGACACCCUGUCAAAACGAAAAACAAAUAAACAAAAACCAAGAAAGAAAAUGA